AGGCUUAACACAUGCAAGUCGAGCGGGCGUAGCAAUACGUCAGCGGCAGACGGGUGAGUAACGCGUGGGAACGUACCUUUUGGUUCGGAACAACACAGGGAAACUUGUGCUAAUACCGGAUAAGCCCUUACGGGGAAAGAUUUAUCGCCGAAAGAUCGGCCCGCGUCUGAUUAGCUAGUUGGUAGGGUAACGGCCUACCAAGGCGACGAUCAGUAGCUGGUCUGAGAGGAUGAUCAGCCACAUUGGGACUGAGACACGGCCCAAACUCCUACGGGAGGCAGCAGUGGGGAAUAUUGGACAAUGGGGGCAACCCUGAUCCAGCCAUGCCGCGUGAGUGAUGAAGGCCCUAGGGUUGUAAAGCUCUUUUGUGCGGGAAGAUAAUGACGGUACCGCAAGAAUAAGCCCCGGCUAACUUCGUGCCA
RNAcentral lists this ribosomal RNA (422 nucleotides) under Bradyrhizobium japonicum. RNAcentral's name for it is "bacterial SSU rRNA". It matches the Rfam family "Bacterial small subunit ribosomal RNA", at positions 44 to 510 of the family's 1533-position model. Lineage: Bacteria; Pseudomonadati; Pseudomonadota; Alphaproteobacteria; Hyphomicrobiales; Nitrobacteraceae. The record is from RNAcentral.